Molecule: ribosomal RNA, 110 nt
Organism: Bison bison bison
Lineage: Eukaryota; Metazoa; Chordata; Mammalia; Artiodactyla; Bovidae
Source: Ensembl
GUCUACGGCAGACCACCCCGAGCAUGCCCCAUCUCAGCCGACCUCGGAAGCUAAGGAGGGUUGGGCUUGGUUAGUAUCCAGUUGGGACAGGGCCCAGGUGCCAGGAGGUG